CAUGCAAGUCGAGCGAUGAGGCCCCUUCGGGGGUACAUCAGCGGCGGAUGGGUGAGUAACACGUAGGCGACCUGCCCCGAAGACGGGGAUAACUACUGGAAAUGGUGGCUAAUACCCGAUGUGCUCGGCGAUUCAGUUCGUCGAGUAAAGUUUCGGCGCUUCGGGAUGGGCCUGCGGCUUAUCAGCUAGUUGGUAGGGUAACGGCCUACCAAGGCGAAGACGGGUAGGGGGCGUGAGAGCGCGGCCCCCCACACUGGCACUGAGACACGGGCCAGACUCCUACGGGAGGCAGCAGUCGGGGAUAUUGCACAAUGGGCGCAAGCCUGAUGCAGCGACGCCGCGUGGGCGAUGAAGGCUUUCGAGUCGUAAAGCCCUUUUCUGGGGGAAGAGCAAGGACG
This 398-nucleotide ribosomal RNA is filed under the name uncultured bacterium. Its description in RNAcentral is "bacterial SSU rRNA". It matches the Rfam family "Bacterial small subunit ribosomal RNA", at positions 54 to 457 of the family's 1533-position model. The record is from RNAcentral.